CGCGGCCUAUCAGCUUGUUGGYGGGGUAAUGGCCCACCAAGGCGACGACGGGUAGCUGGUCUGAGAGGAUGGCCAGCCACAUUGGGACUGAGAGACGGCCCAGACUCCUACGGGAGGCAGCAGUGGGGAAUCUUGCGCAAUGGCCGAAAGGCUGACGCAGCGACGCCGCGUGUGGGAGGACGCCUUUCGGGGUGUAAACCACUGUUGCCCGGGACGAACACGGCUAUUCGUAGCCGCUGACGGUACCGGGUGAGGAAGCACCGGCUAACUCCGUGCCAGCAGCCGCGGUAAUACGGAGGGUGCGAGCGUUGUCCGGAAUCAUUGGGCGUAAAGGGCGCGUAGGUGGCCCGGUCAGCGUGCGGUGAAAGCUCGGGGCUCAACCCCGAGUCGGCCGUGCGAACUGCUGGGCUCGAGCACUGUAGAGGCAGGCGGAAUUCCGGGUGUAGCGGUGGAAUGCGUAGAGAUCCGGAAGAACACCGGUGGCGAAGGCGGCCUGCUGGGCAGUAGCUGACACUGAGGCGCGACAGCGUGGGGAGCAAACAGGAUUAGAUACCCUGGUAGUCCACGCCGUAAACGAUGGGCACUAGGCGCUUGGGGGAGCGACCCCCCGAGGGCCGGCGCUAACGCAUUAAGUGCCCCGCCUGGGGAGUACGG
RNAcentral lists this ribosomal RNA (654 nucleotides) under uncultured Actinomycetes bacterium. Its description in RNAcentral is "bacterial SSU rRNA". It matches the Rfam family "Bacterial small subunit ribosomal RNA", at positions 232 to 885 of the family's 1533-position model. Lineage: Bacteria; Bacillati; Actinomycetota; Actinomycetes. The record is from RNAcentral.